Molecule: long non-coding RNA, 199 nt
Filed under: Elaeis guineensis (African oil palm)
Lineage: Eukaryota; Viridiplantae; Streptophyta; Magnoliopsida; Arecales; Arecaceae
Description: long non-coding RNA (EGUI_LNC034511)
Source: RNAcentral
AUAUAUACAGAUAAAAUUUGCCUAUUCAAUUCUUCGGCAUCUAGAUAUUAUAUAGAUGCACCGAUUCCUGAAAUACAAAAUUAUCGAACAAGGUUAAGAUAUAUAGCAUGUUAUCUUAUACAUUGAGAAAAUAGAGUUUAUAUAUAUUAAAACUUAUAAAUCAAUUUUAUGAUAUACAGGCUCAAUAGAGCGAUAGCUG